GAUGAACGCUGGCGGCGUGCCUAAUACAUGCCAGUCGAGCGAACAGACGAGGCGCUUGCUCCUCUGACGUUAGCGGCGGACGGGUGAGUCACAUGUGGAUCACCUACCUAUAAGUCUGGUAUAACUUCGGGACACCGGCGCUAAUCCCGGAUAAUAUCUUGCACCGCAUGGUUCAAUAGUGAAAGACGGCUUUGCUGUCACUUCUCGCUGGUUCCCGGCCGCAUUAGCUAGUUGGUAAGGUAAAGGCUUACCAAGGCAACGAUGCGUAGCCGACGUGAGGGGGUGAUCGGCCACACUGGAGGUGGGACGCGGUCCAGACUCCUACGGGAGGCAGCAGUAGGGAAUCUUCCGCAAUGGGCGAAAGCCUGACGGAGCAACGCCGCGUGAGUGAUGAAGGUCUUCGGAGCGUAAAACUCUGUUAUGAGGGAAGAACAAAUGUGUAAGGAACUAUGCACGUCGUGACGGUACCGGGUCAGAAAGCCACGGCUAACUACGUG
This 497-nucleotide ribosomal RNA is filed under the name uncultured bacterium. RNAcentral's name for it is "partial 16S ribosomal RNA". It matches the Rfam family "Bacterial small subunit ribosomal RNA", at positions 28 to 507 of the family's 1533-position model. The record is from RNAcentral.